UGGGGAAUAUUGCACAAUGGAGGGAACUCUGAUGCAGCGACGCCGCGUGAGUGAUGAAGGAAUUCGUUUCGUAAAACUCUGUUCUAUGGGAAGAAAAGGACUGUACCAUAGGAGAAAGCCCCGGCUAAAUACGUGCCAGCAGCCGCGGUAAUACGUAUGGAGCGAGCGUUGUCCGGAAUUAUUGGGCGUAAAGGGUGCGCAGGCGGCUUUACAAGUUGGAUGUGAAAUAUUGUGGCUCAACCACAAACGUGCAUCCAAAACUGCAAAGCUUGUGUUAAGGAGAGGUAAGUGGAAUUCCUGGUGUAGCGGUGGAAUGCGUAGAUAUCAGGAGGAAUACCGGUGGCGAAGGCGACUUACUGGACUUAAACUGACGCUCAGGCACGAAAGCGUGGGGAGCAAACAGG
RNAcentral lists this ribosomal RNA (404 nucleotides) under Fusobacteriota bacterium. RNAcentral describes it as "Fusobacteria bacterium partial 16S ribosomal RNA". It matches the Rfam family "Bacterial small subunit ribosomal RNA", at positions 355 to 776 of the family's 1533-position model. The record is from RNAcentral. Lineage: Bacteria; Fusobacteriati; Fusobacteriota.